GUGGGGAAUCUUGCGCAAUGGGCGAAAGCCUGACGCAGCCAUGCCGCGUGAAUGAUGAAGGUCUUAGGAUUGUAAAAUUCUUUCACCGGGGACGAUAAUGACGGUACCCGGAGAAGAAGCCCCGGCUAACUUCGUGCCAGCAGCCGCGGUAAUACGAAGGGGGCUAGCGUUGCUCGGAAUUACUGGGCGUAAAGGGAGCGUAGGCGGAUAGUUCAGUCAGAGGUGAAAGCCCAGGGCUCAACCUUGGAAUUGCCUUUGAUACUGGCUGUCUUGAGUAUGGGAGAGGUUAGCGGAACUCCGAGUGUAGAGGUGAAAUUCGUAGAUAUUCGGAAGAACACCAGUGGCGAAGGCGGCUCACUGGCUCGAUACUGACGCUGAGGUGCGAAAGCGUGGGGAGCAAACAGGAUUAGAUACCCGUGUAGUCC
Molecule: ribosomal RNA, 425 nt
Filed under: uncultured bacterium
Lineage: Bacteria
Description: partial 16S ribosomal RNA
Rfam family: Bacterial small subunit ribosomal RNA
Source: RNAcentral